This 503-nucleotide ribosomal RNA is filed under the name uncultured bacterium. RNAcentral describes it as "partial 16S ribosomal RNA". It matches the Rfam family "Bacterial small subunit ribosomal RNA", at positions 30 to 523 of the family's 1533-position model. The record is from RNAcentral.
AUUGAACGCUGGCGGCAGGCUUAACACAUGCAAGUCGAGCGGGGUGAUGGUGCUUGCACUAUCACUUAGCGGCGGACGGGUGAGUAAUGCUUAGGAAUCUGCCUAUUAGUGGGGGACAACAUCUCGAAAGGGAUGCUAAUACCGCAUACGUCCUACGGGAGAAAGCAGGGGAUCACCUGUUACCUUGGGCUAAUAGAUGAGCCGAAGUAGGAUUAGCUAGGUGGUGGGGUAAAGGCCUACCAAGGCGACGAUCUGUAGCGGGGCUGAGAGGAUGAUCCGCCACACUGGGACUGAGACACGGCCCAGACUCCUACGGGAGGCAGCAGUGGGGAAUAUUGGACAAUGGGGGGAAACCUGAUCCAGCCAUGCCGCGUGUGUGAAGAAGGCCUUAUGGUUGUAAAGCACUUUAAGCGAGGAGGAGGCUUACCUAGUUAAUACCUGGGAUAAGUGGACGUUACUCGCAGAAUAAGCACCGGCUAACUCUGUGCCAGCAGCCGCCGCGG